RNAcentral lists this ribosomal RNA (253 nucleotides) under uncultured bacterium. RNAcentral describes it as "partial 16S ribosomal RNA". It matches the Rfam family "Bacterial small subunit ribosomal RNA", at positions 524 to 776 of the family's 1533-position model. The record is from RNAcentral.
UACGUAGGGUGCAAGCGUUAUUCGGAUUUAUUGGGCGUAAAGGGUUCGUAGGCGGGAUUAUAAGUCAAGUGUGAAAUCCCCAAGCUUAACUUGGGACGUGCAUUUAAAACUGUGAUUCUUGAGUCAUUGAGAGGGUGGUGGAAUUGUUGGUGUAGGAGUGACAUCCGUAGAGAUCAACAGGAACACCAGAGGCGAAAGCGGCCACCUGGCAAUGUACUGACGCUGAGGAACGAAAGCGUGGGGAGCAAACAGG